AAUAGGAGCCAGAGAAUAGCAAAUAUUGACACUCUUCUGUGUCAACAGAAAAGAAAGUGCAAAACUGGCUGUCGUUAGAUCAAAUUUCACUUUCAAAAUUAACAUUUGGUAUAUUCUUUCUCUUUCAGUGCAACUAGAUGUGUUGAUGCUAAGAGGCUGAAAUCUCUUCUGCUGCAGCUUACCUCUGUGUAAGACUGUUGAUGAGUCAAAUUCUCUGGGAUGCUCAGGAUCCAGGCAGGCAUCACGUGUUUUUCUUCUGACCCACAAUGACAUCUGCCAGGCCAUCUCCUGCAACUUAAUUGGGGCACACUCCUGUACCCUUUGGAUACUCUGGAAAAUACCCUGCAGGGCUUGGGCACUUCUGAAGGCUUUCAGAUCCACUACACUUCAUUACACCUUUUGAACAAGAAGUGUCUGCUAUCUAUGGCGAAAUCACCAUAGUUAUUUUGGUGGUAAGAGCACUUACAAGGCAGUCUUCACAGGAGAAGCAAAGUGUAAGACUAUGGUAAAAAACCCUCCAGAAACACUGUAAAUGUGAGAUCUGAAGAUAAGAGAACUAGGUUUCUAGUUCUAGAGAACUAGAAACUCACUAGACAGUGAGUUUCAUUGCUUCAGCCUUUUGGAAAAGGACCAACUCUGCAGCUGCUCAGUGUAUGAUGCACACAGGGAUCAGGCAUGUUGGGGGAUGUUAUUCUCAAGGCCCUACAUGUAGGAUUUGAAAUAUCUCUUUUUAUUGGAAAUUAAUUUUAAACAAAUCGAUUGGGCCACAGCUGAGCCAUUCUCUGAAGUUUGCAGGUAAAGCAUAAAAUGCCACCCAAAAAAAAAAAAAAAAAAAAACAAGAAAAGAAAGAGUCUCUCCUGACUGUCCAGCUGACACAAAUCUCUUCUUCUUGAAUCAGGAGUGAAACCUUUGUCAAGCAAUACCAAGGAGCAGCCACGUCAUUUGGGCUCUGGUUACGUUUUCCCUGGAAGCAAGAGCUCACAACACUUGGAGAGAAUCCACAGCUGUCUUUGCAAGGUCUCUGCAAGCUGGAAAAUUGAGGAUUCAUCCAUUUUCCUGAAGAUAAAUAAUUUUAUGACUAUUUUUCCAAUUGCAUGUACUUCUCCUUUUGGAAAGACUGAACCCUUGCAAUUCCCAAGCAGGUCCUCUGCACCUGACAGCAGUUUUUAUAGCUUGUUUCCUUUUCCAUAGCUAAGUUUAGCUCUCAGUUUUCCUAUGUCUCAUUCCCCAGGCAGAUCUCACAAGUAGUUAAGCUGUUUAUGUUUUCUUCCUGCAUGCACCCAGAAGUUUGAAGAAAUAACUGCAAGAUUUUAUAUCAGAUUCAUGGGACAAAUAUCAAAAGAUAAGUGAAAAUCAAAAAUUCACUCUGAAGCUAUCAUACCACUGAAAUACUCACAGCAGAAGAUGGGCUUGCUGAGGUGGAAUUUAUUAAUUGUCACAGAGAUCUCUGCAAGAACUUGAAUUUUUCUCGUAUGUCAUGUGAGCUCCAUUCCCAACCAGUCCCAUGUCUCUGACUUGGCUGCUGACCUGUAUUCAUG
Long non-coding RNA from Pseudopipra pipra, 1539 nucleotides. RefSeq lists it as uncharacterized. The record is from RefSeq and is a predicted model, not a curated record. The transcript is spliced from 5 exons. NCBI's taxonomy places the organism in Eukaryota, Metazoa, Chordata, Aves, Passeriformes, Pipridae.